AACUGUGAAAAGCCAAAUGCAAAACCAAUAGCCAUUCCGUGUAAAAAACUCUCUCUGAAUAUUUUCUUCAGUUGCAAUCUGUAGAGCUCCAUUACUUUGUUACCAGCACAGAAUGCUACAACAGUGUAAAUGUUUCUAACAGCAUCCUCAAGGACCAAUGAUGCCUUCCUAUGCAUCUCCUGGAUUCCCCUCGAAAAUCCAGCAAGCCACAACUUCUGUGCAAUUGCAGAAACCAUGAGAAUGGGCAAGGUUGCCAAUGCCACGAGAGCCAAUCGCCAUUGAAGCAGCAUUCCAAUGACAACAGCAACAACAACAGCAGCACUGUCCUGUAUAAAUAUUGAAAGCCGGUUGCUAAAAGCUGCUCGCACAAAUGUAGCAUCAUUAGCCAACCGCAUGGAUAAUGUGUCGGCACUAUUCUCCUCUUCAUCAAACCAUCCAACUUCAUUGCGCAGCAUUGCUGAAAACAUCAUUCUCCGGACUCGCUCAGUCAUUUUUUCACCCAUAAUACCAAAAUAGAAGUGCUGCAAAAAAUUUGCAACAACUGUCACCACACCCAUGCAGGCAAUGAUCAAGCACCACUUGUCUACAUCCUGCUGCAAGUGAUGACGUUCAGGCCUAUAAUAAGCAGUCACUAUCAGCGCAAUAACAUAAGCAAGAAGUGGAUUAAGAGAACCAAAGAUAGCAGCUCCAAUGCUUCCUAAAACAGCAUAAAGCCACUCUGCAAAGCUAAGUUCUGCCAGCCUCCAAAAAGAUGGUGCUUCCCGAUGCUUUGUAUCCUUUGCAUCCUUACAUGUAGUUGGAAUAUCAUCCGAGUGACUAUGAGGCCGACUAAAAGUCUGUGAGUGGGAACGUUCAUUUUUAGGAUCAGAAGUCAAAAGGGGCGAUACAGGUGAUUCAGGAUCUGACCCAUUUGAUGUUUGCCGAUUUGCAGACUGGACAUCAAUCUUGGGUAACUCUGGUAGUCGCAUUUCAAAACUAUCCUGUCUCCUUAUUGAUGGUUCUUUAUCAGCUGCAUCCAAGCGACAACCAUUUUCCAUCAUUUUCUCUGGUGGUG
This 1054-nucleotide unclassified non-coding RNA is filed under the name Hevea brasiliensis (rubber tree). The record is from RNAcentral. Lineage: Eukaryota; Viridiplantae; Streptophyta; Magnoliopsida; Malpighiales; Euphorbiaceae.